UCCUUAGCGAUCUUCGCGUUCUCUGGUCCAAGCAGAGCCAAGCCGUGUGUGCUCUUCCCGAGGCCCAGGUACCUGCAAGGCAGGCGGGCAGGGUGAGUCAGGGCUGUCGUCCGCCUCAGGGGCCUGCGGGGGGCAGAGCAGGUCUCCAACACUGGAGCCCCUGGUGGUACUCACUUGUUGCUCACAUCGAUGAGACCCUCUCGGUGGACCGCAAAGAGCUGCUCCCUGUGCGCCUGCUUCACCUCAUCCGAGAGGCCGUACAGGAAAUGCUCCAGCCCUGGAAGAGAACACGGGUGACGCACGGGAAGAGGUCCAGCCCCGAGAGAGAAGGCAGGUGACGCAUGGGAAGAGGUCCAGCCCCGAGAGAGAAGGCAGGUGACGCACGGGAAGUGGUCCAGCCCUGGAAGAGAACACGGGUGACGCACGGGAAGAGGUCCAGCCCCGAGAGAGAAGGCAGGUGACGCACGGGAAGAGGUCCAGCCCUGGAAGAGAACACGGGUGACGCAUGGGAAGAGGUCCAGCCCUGGAAGAGAACACGGGUGACGCACGGGAAGAGGUCGAGCCCCGAGAGAGAAGGCAGGUGACGCACAGAAGCUGGCGGGGGCAGCAUUCGAGGCUGCCUUGGGUGCUGACCUUGUUCCACAGUCACUUUAUGGACAUAUUUUGAAAGGUCAAACCUUUGACCUUCACCUUCCCACAAAGCCUAUCCCCUUUGGGGUGAGGAUGAAGACUGAGUGAGGGCCACACUGGAAUGGUCUCCAGCAGCACUUGGGUCACACAGCCCGGGGACCCUCAGUUAGCCUCCUGGGCCUCAGAUGGUUCAAGCUCUGAAAUGAUGGGAUUUGACCCUUCCAACUGGCAAGGGGGAGACGCUCUUGCCCCGGGGGCCAAGAAGCACAUCUCAAGGUCACAGGAGGAGGCCGGGAGGUGGGGUAAGAUGAGCACACAACUCAAGGACUCUGCGUGGCGUCCGGUCUGGUGACACCACGUACCAAGGAGCUCUUUGUGAUUUACUCCCAAUACCUUUGUCUGAAGGAGCCACAGGAGCAUCUACGGCGGAGAAAACGGAGAGCUUUGCUUCGUCAAUGUCCUGCUGUGUGAAUCUCCCCGACUUAGCCCAGUCCACGGCCUUCGCAAAAGACUGGAGC
Molecule: long non-coding RNA, 1148 nt
Organism: Diceros bicornis minor
Lineage: Eukaryota; Metazoa; Chordata; Mammalia; Perissodactyla; Rhinocerotidae
Exons: 2
Source: RefSeq, a predicted model, not a curated record